GGGAUUAGUGGCGAACGGGUGAGUAACACGUGAGUAACCUGCCCUUAACUCUGGGAUAAGCCUGGGAAACUGGGUCUAAUACCGGAUAUGACUCCUCAUCGCAUGGUGGGGGGUGGAAAGCUUUUUGUGGUUUUGGAUGGACUCGCGGCCUAUCAGCUUGUUGGUGAGGUAAUGGCUUACCAAGGCGACGACGGGUAGCCGGCCUGAGAGGGUGACCGGCCACACUGGGACUGAGACACGGCCCAGACUCCUACGGGAGGCAGCAGUGGGGAAUAUUGCACAAUGGGCGCAAGCCUGAUGCAGCGACGCCGCGUGAGGGAUGACGGCCUUCGGGUUGUAAACCUCUUUCAGUAGGGAAGAAGCGAAAGUGACGGUACCUGCAGAAGAAGCGCCGGCUAACUACGUGCCAGCAGCCGCGGUAAUACGUAGGGCGCAAGCGUUAUCCGGAAUUAUUGGGCGUAAAGAGCUCGUAGGCGGUUUGUCGCGUCUGCCGUGAAAGUCCGGGGCUCAACUCCGGAUCUGCGGUGGGUACGGGCAGACUAGAGUGAUGUAGGGGAGACUGGAAUUCCUGGUGUAGCGGUGAAAUGCGCAGAUAUCAGGAGGAACACCGAUGGCGAAGGCAGGUCUCUGGGCAUUAACUGACGCUGAGGAGCGAAAGCAUGGGGAGCGAACAGGAUUAGAUACCCUGGUAGUCCAUGCCGUAAACGUUGGGCACUAGGUGUGGGGGACAUUCCACGUUUUCCGCGCCGUAGCUAACGCAUUAAGUGCCCCGCCUGGGGAGUACGGCCGCAAGGCUAAAACUCAAAGGAAUUGACGGGGGCCCGCACAAGCGGCGGAGCAUGCGGAUUAAUUCGAUGCAACGCGAAGAACCUUACCAAGGCUUGACAUGAACCGGUAACGCCUGGAGACAGGUGCCCCGCUUGCGGUCGGUUUACAGGUGGUGCAUGGUUGUCGUCAGCUCGUGUCGUGAGAUGUUGGGUUAAGUCCCGCAACGAGCGCAACCCUCGUUCUAUGUUGCCAGCACGUGAUGGUGGGGACUCAUAGGAGACUGCCGGGGUCAACUCGGAGGAAGGUGGGGACGACGUCAAAUCAUCAUGCCCCUUAUGUCUUGGGCUUCACGCAUGCUACAAUGGCCGGUACAAAGGGUUGCGAUACUUGUGAGGUGGAGCUAAUCCCAAAAAGCCGGUCCCAGUUC
This 1195-nucleotide ribosomal RNA is filed under the name Pseudarthrobacter oxydans. Its description in RNAcentral is "bacterial SSU rRNA". It matches the Rfam family "Bacterial small subunit ribosomal RNA", at positions 88 to 1294 of the family's 1533-position model. The record is from RNAcentral. Lineage: Bacteria; Bacillati; Actinomycetota; Actinomycetes; Micrococcales; Micrococcaceae.